UGUUUUUUGAAAUCAUAACUG
This 21-nucleotide non-coding RNA is filed under the name Caenorhabditis elegans. Lineage: Eukaryota; Metazoa; Nematoda; Chromadorea; Rhabditida; Rhabditidae. The record is from RNAcentral.